Molecule: ribosomal RNA, 253 nt
Filed under: uncultured bacterium
Lineage: Bacteria
Description: partial 16S ribosomal RNA
Rfam family: Bacterial small subunit ribosomal RNA
Source: RNAcentral
UACGAACUGUGCGAACGUUAUUCGGAAUCACUGGGCUUACAGGGUGCGUAGGCGGCUCGUUAAGUAGGGUGUGAAAGCCCCCGGCUCAACCGGGGAAUUGCGCCCUAAACUGGCGAGCUGGAGUGAGAUAGGGGUGUGUGGAACUUCCGGUGGAGCGGUGAAAUGUGUUGAUAUCGGAAGGAACGCCGGUGGCGAAAGCGACACACUGGAUCUUGUCUGACGCUGAGGCACGAAAGCCAGGGGAGCGAACGGG